CAUCCCUCCACUCCUAGCUGCGGUCAGAGCUGGGGGGUCCUGCCUGGCCCGGCGUGGGGCCCAGUACCUGUUGCGUGGGCAGUGCCUCACUGGGUAGGAUCAUGGCAGCAGGAAUGGGAUGGGGCACAUGAAGCCGGCUGCCUCCCUCCCAGGGCUGUCCUGCCAUCCAACUUUAACCCUGCACAUGACUGCCAGCGGCAGAAGCUGCUCAUUCACGUGGACAGAUGGGGUCUGAGUAAGGGACUCAUGCCAUGACCUGGCAGCCAACCCUUCGUGACCUGGUACUGGGCUGCGGGUUGGAAACCUCUGGUCUAUGUCACUCAGCACCCCUUUUGGGGAUCCUGAAGAACCAGACUUUGGAAGGGAAUGAAUGGCAAGGAGAUUCCUGGUGGAUGAGGAAAGGCAACGAGGCCCAUAAUUCUCUCCAGUGCCUUGGCCCUUCAUUUAUGCACCUUGAAUAUCACUGGAGUGUAUCAGAGAAUCCUAACCCUGCUGCAGGGGAAAGCAAGCCAGGGAAGAAAAAUCAACAAGGUCCCUUUAAAACAAGACCUUUUGUAUCCUGAGUGGGACGACAAUUACCUGCAGCAGAAAGCAGUCUUGUCAGAGCAGCCAGGGUAGUGGAGUUCCUAGUGGCUAGCACAAACCCCCUGAACAAGAGGGGCCAGUCUGCCUGCAGCAGAUGAGAGCAGGGACCACCUAUUGAAGGACAGCUGGCCCUUGGUUAUGGACUCCUUCCCUGCAGAGACUAGGCUGCAAGCGGCUGGCUGCAGAAUAAGGAGCAGCUGGAUGGGAGAAUUUAACAGCACCUGGGCCAGGCGAGCAGAAAGCCAGGUCUGCUGAUCAGCAGGGAGGGGCUGACUGGUAUAUAUACUGUCCUCCAGGGGAAAGAUGUUGGCUGGCCCUGGUGGCAGAAAUGGACAAAACUCUCUGAGGAGCAGGGAGGGCGUAUAAGCCCAGCAAGAGGAGCUUCUGUUGAGAGAGAGGGAGAGAGAGGUAGGGGACUGGAGAGACCCAGUAAUAUAGUCUCAACAUAUCCAAGACUCAGAGCACUACAUAGAAUUAUAUCACGAAUGUUCCAGUUGAGUCAAUGCAAAAUAACUUGCUUUGGGUACUUGCAGGAAAAGUAAAGGAAAUAAAAGACUAGAUUUGUGAAACUACUAGAGAUGAAGCUUGGAGAUAACCUCAGGGUCAGCACAUAAGAGCUGGAAGCCCCCUCUCUCCCACUGCCAGGGAAAGCACCCUCGCCACCAAGGGAUAUGACGAUUCCACACUACUUAAAUAAUUAAUUGGAUCAGGAACUGGAAUCCAGAUCAUCUACCUCCAUGUAAAUAUCCUAAAUACCAGGCUAGAGGAUUGCUUUUGUAUUCUGUCUCAAUCUUCAAGUUUCUUUUCUCAGGUGGAAGACUUCCAAAGGUGGGCUUAUCUCUGUUUAUCCUGUGAAUAAUGUUAGCAAAUCUAACCGUGCUAACAUUGUGUGGCACCUGUGAAAGGAUCUCAAGGCAUUACAGGGUUCUGUGGCACCUGGCUGAGAAUCAUUAUCCUGGAGGUACGAGGCCUAAGGUCAAGCCCAUUUCCAGCUAAAUUAAGGUAAGGAUUUGAACCCAGGUCAGCAGAGCUGAGUUCUUUGAGGAAUCGGUACACCUGCAACUUUCUCUCUCCUGUUUGUUGCACAGCUGUAGUAAGCUAAGAUAGACAGGAAAAGGUACUUUUAACUAGUUCAAGCCAUGUAAAGGGUGACCUCAGGUUUGAACUUAAAGCCAUGUAGAGAGAACACCUGUUACCAUCUUUAAGGUCCUUCUUUGCCCAUCUUAGACUUCCCUCUAAAUCAAUACAGCAUUUUAGAUGAUGCUUUCUUUAAUAGCAAACAACACUGCUACAAUUCCUUUUCUAGUCUAGAAUCUAAGUGCUAAUGGCUUGUAUGAAGACAAAUCAGCCUUAAUGUUUAUAGAAAAGAAUACAUCAUAACUUCUGGAGGAAAAUAUUUUAAGGUGGUAGAGAGACCAUAUGGUCCACCAGCAAAAUAAGUCCCUGACUUGGCAAAUAUUCUUCCUGAGGAGCAACACUGCUCUACCUAAUAAGGAAAUGGACAUGGGUGAUAACUAACUGCAGAGAUCAGCCUCCUUAGAAGCCUUCUAAUAAUUGGCUUAUCAACUAGUUGUACUCAUCUCCAGUGCAUCCUCUAAUGAGAUAGAGACACAGGGCUGUGUGGAUCAACAUUGAUAUGCCCAUCUUAUCCUAAAACCUGAGCCCUGACCAAUAUGACUGCAGGAAGUCCACACUGGAAGAGCUAACAGGGCUAGACUUCCUGAACUUGUAAAGUAUAUAAGCAUUGCUGUUCUUGCAUGUUCCUUUGACUGUAAUUAACAAAGGCUUCUUAGCACACAGCCUUUUUAAGCAACAUUUCUCUUGCUGUUUUCUUGCAUUAUUUAGUUGUAUAAAGCAUUUUAUAAUGCAGCAUAACGAAAGAUAUGAUACAGAGUAACAUUUUACUGUAUAGCAUUGAUCUAUCAUAAACAUGGUCUAUUAUCAUUUACACUCAGUAAAAUAAAGGUAUUGCUAUUUAAAUACUCUAUUAAGAAAUAAACAUAAAAUUUACCUCGGCAUAACUUUGUCUAGCAUUUAGCAUUCAUUAAUGUAUAGCAACUGAACAGAAUUUCUUUUCACUACAAAGAAGAAAUCUUAGAUUGCUUAUUAAUUAACAAAUAAAUAUAGGACUUUUUCUAAAUGAAGAUAUUUAUCUUAAAAUACUUCAAGCAAUACUAAAUUUAAUAAUUAUAAUUAAGAAAGUCUAUCUAAUUUGUUUUGGAGAAUGGCAUACACUGUGAUCUGAGGGUGCUAUUUGGCCAGUAGAUGGGACUAGGGUACCUGCUUUGUUUUUAUGAAUGUCUUGGGUAUCUUGCCAACAUGAGCAGGGAGAAUAAGAUAUUUAAUAGUUAAUCAAUUUAAAUAAAUUAAACCCUAACUCUCCAUACACAAUUCAGAACUAAUACAAGGACUUCACAGUUAAUAUUUUUUUUUUAUUCUCUGCCUUGAGAUGGCUGGUCUCACAUAUUUGAAUUGGCUUUUCUGCUUCCACCUUGACUUUAUGCUUUGACCUGUGUAGCGUAUAAUGGUGAAAUACAAAGAAGUGCCAGAUGCUUGGGGCCAUUGUGUAGCUGAGAAAAUGCUGUAACCUACUGUGGCAUAGGAGGUGUCCAUGUCUAUACAGAACAUUAGAAAUGAGCUGUUGGAUUUGUGAUGGUAUAGUAGAGUGCGAUGAGACUGUAUCUUAAAGAUGGGUCUUAGCCUCUUGUCAGGAGAAUGUUAUUUGUACCACAAUACACUAAGCAUGACUCUAUUAUUAAAAAAAAAAAAAAAAAAAGUGUGAGAAUAUGGAUACAGGAACCAUAGUAAAUGUGGUAUGGGUAUGUAAAAAUUGUCUUGGAGUUAUACAGAGACAUUAUCAGCACCUCAGGAUGAGCUCUGUAGUAGGACCUAUAUGUGGAUAGCUACUGGUCCCUGUGGGAGCUGCAAGCUCUAAAGGUACCUGCAGGGAUCCUUCACAGAGGUGCCUGAAGAGUCUGUCACAAGCAUCAAAAAUGGCUUUACAGUAAUUGCGAACUCUACAAGGCUUCACGUGGAAAUAGUAAGAAACCUCAACAGUACCCUGUACUAGGCUUAGGGGCAAAAAUGUAUAUACAACAUAAAUGAUGCGUGCCCCUGGUGGCUGGGGGUGCACAGCGGCAGUAAGCGUGAAG
Molecule: long non-coding RNA, 3737 nt
Organism: Alligator mississippiensis (American alligator)
Lineage: Eukaryota; Metazoa; Chordata; Crocodylia; Alligatoridae
Exons: 3
Source: RefSeq, a predicted model, not a curated record